RNAcentral lists this ribosomal RNA (254 nucleotides) under uncultured bacterium. RNAcentral's name for it is "partial 16S ribosomal RNA". It matches the Rfam family "Bacterial small subunit ribosomal RNA", at positions 524 to 776 of the family's 1533-position model. The record is from RNAcentral.
CACGUAGGGCGCAAGCGUUGUCCGGAAUUAUUGGGCGUAAAGAGCUCGUAGGCGGUGUGUCGCGUCGGCCGUGAAAACCUGCAGCUUAACUGUGGGCUUGCGGUCGAUACGGGCAUCACUGGAGUUCGGCAGGGGAGACUGGAAUUCCUGGUGUAGCGGUGAAAUGCGCAGAUAUCAGGAGGAACACCGGUGGCGAAGGCGCCACUCUGGGCCGAAACUGACGCUGAGGAGCGAAAGCGUGGGUAGCAAACAGG